AUUACUCAGUGUCGCUUUUUGCCCAGGUCUCCACAUCUCUCGUGUCUGUGUGUGUGUUUUCUUUUCAAUAUUGGCACCUGAGCUGACGUGUGUUGCCAAUCCUUGUCAGUUUCAGAGGGUAGAUUUCUCCGUGUUGCUCUUUCCCAAGUUCUCCACGCCCUUGUGUGUUCUUUUUGAUCAAAGAUUGAACCUGAGCUAGCCUCUGUUGCCCAUAUUCGUCAGUUUCAGAGGGUAGAUUUCUCAGUGUUGCUCUUUCCCAGGGUCUCCACGCCCUUCUGUGGUAUUUUUUGCUCAAAUAUUGAACGUGAGCUAGCCUCUGUUGCCCAUAUUCGUCAGUUUCAGAGGGUAGAUUUCUCAGUGUUGCUUUUUCCCCAGGUCUCCACGUCCCUCAGUGUCUGUGUGUGUGUGUUUUCUUUGCAAGAUUGGCACCUUUCCUUACGUGUGUUGCCGAUCUUUGUCAGUUUCAGACGGAAGAUUUCUCAGUGUUGCUGUUUCCCAGGACUGCACACCCUUGUGUUUUGUUUUUGCUUGCACAUUGCCACCUGAGCUAGCCUAUGUAGCCCAUCUUCUUGAGUUUCAGAGGGUACAUUUCUGAAUGUUGCUGUCUACCCAGGUCUUCACGCCCUAGUGUUUUUUGGGGGGUUUUGUUUUAUUUUUUGCUUAAUGAUUGCCACCUGACCUAUCCUGUCCUGCCCAUCUUUGUCGGUUUUAGAGGGUAGAUUACUCAGUGUUGCUUUUUGCCCAGGUCUCCACAUCUCUCGUGUCUGUGUGUGUGUGUGUGUUUUCCUUUCAAUAUUGGCACCUGAGCUGACGUGUGUUGCCAAUCCUUGUCAGUUUCAGAGGGUAGAUUUCUCCGUGUUGCUCUUUCCCAAGUUCUCCACGCCCUUGUGUGUUCUUUUGAUCAAAGAUUGAACCUGAGCUAGCCUCUGUUGACGACCAUGGUCAGUUUCAGAGGGUAGAUUUCUCAGUGUUGCUCUUUCCCAGGGUCUCCACGCCCUUGUGUGGUAUUUUUUGCUCAAAUAUUGAACCUGAGCUAGCCUCUGUUGCCCAUAUUCGUCAGUUUCAGAGGGUAGAUUUCUCAGUGUUGCUUUUUCCCCAGGUCUCCACGCCCUUGUGUUUUGUUUUUGCUUAACGAUUGCCACCUGAGCUAGCCUCUGUUGCCCAUCUUCCUCAGUUUCAGAGGGUAGAUAUUUCAGGGUUGCUUUUUCCCCAGGUCUCCACGCCUUUGUGUUUUGUUUUUGCUUAACGAUUGCCACCUGAGCUAGCCUCUCUUGCCCAUCUUCCUCAGUUUCAGAGGGUGGAUUUCUCCGUGUUGCUUUUUCCCCAGGUCUCCACGCCCUUGUGUGUUUCUUUUGCUUAAAGAUUGCCACCUGAGGUAGCCUCUGUUGCCCAUCCUCGUCAGUUUCAGAGGGUAGAUUUCUCAGUGUUGCUUUUUCCCCAGGUCUCCACGCCUUUGUGUUUUGUUUUUGCUUAACGAUUGCCACCUGAAGCCAGCCUCUCUUGCCCAUCUUCCUCAGUUUCAGAGGGUAGAUAUUUCAGGGUUGCUUUUUCCCCAGGUCUCCACGCCUUUGUGUUUUGUUUUUGCUUAACGAUUGCCACCUGAGCUAGCCUCUCUUGCCCAUCUUCCUCAGUUUCAGAGGGUGGAUUUCUCAGUGUUGCUUUUUCCCAGGUCUCCACGCCCUUGUGUGUUUCUUUUGCUUAAAGAUUGCCACCUGAGCUAGCCUCUGUUGCCCAUCUUCCUCAGUUUCAGAGGGUAGAUUUUUCAGGGUUGCUUUUUGACCGGGUCUCCUCGCCAUUGUAUUUUUUUAUUUUAUUUUUUUUGCUUAAAGAUUGCCACCUGAGCUAGCCUCUGUUGCCCAUCUUCUUCGGUUUCAGAGGGUAGAUUUCUCAGUGUUGCUUUUUCGCCAGCUCUCCACGCCCUUGCGUCUUUUUUUUUUCUGCUUAAAGGUUGCAACCUGAGCUAGCUUCUUUUGCCCAUGUUCGUCAGUUUCAGAGGGUGGAUUUCUCCGUGUUGCUUUUUCCCCAGGUCUCCACGCCCUUGUGUGUUUCUUUUGCUUAACGAUUGCCACCUGAGGUAGCCUCUGUUGCCCAUCCUCGUCAGUUUCAGAGGGUAGAUUUCUCAGUGUUGCUUUUUCCCCAGGUCUCCACGCCCUUGUGUGUUUCUUUUGCUUAAAGUUUGCCACCUGAGGUAGCCUCUGUUGCCCAUCCUCGUCAGUUUCAGAGGGUGGAUUUCUCAGGGUUGCUUUUUCCCCAGGUCUCCACGCCCUUGUGUGUUUCUUUUGCUUAAAGUUUGCCACCUGAAGCCAGCCUCUCUUGCCCAUCUUCCUCAGUUUCAGAGGGUAGAUAUUUCAGGGUUGCUUUUUCCCCAGGUCUCCACGCCUUUGUGUUUUGUUUUUGCUUAACGAUUGCCACCUGAGCUAGCCUCUGUUGCCCAUCUUCCUCAGUUUCAGAGGGUGGAUUUCUCCGUGUUGCUUUUUCCCCAGGUCUCCACGCCCUUGUGUGUUUCUUUUGCUUAAAGAUUGCCACCUGAGCUAGCCUCUGUUGCCCAUCUUCGUCCGUUUCAGAGGGUGGAUUUCUCAGUGUUGCUUUUUCCCCAGCUCCCCACGCCCUUGUGUGUUUCUUUUGCUUAAAGAUUGCCACCUGAGCUAGCCUCUGUUGCGCUUCUUUCUCAGUUUCAGAGGGUAGAUUUCUCCGUGUUGCUUUUUCCCCAGGUCUCCACGCACUUCCUUUUAUUUUUCCUUAAAAAUUGCCACCUGAGCUAGCCUCUGUUGCCCAUCUUCGUCGGUUUCAGAGGGUAGAUUUCUCAGUGUUGCUUUUUCCCCAGGUCUCUACGUGCUUGUGUGUGUGUGUGUGUGUGUGUGUGUGUGUGUGUGUGUUUUCUGCUUAAAGAUUGCCACCUGAGCUAGCCCCUGUUGCCCAUCUUCGUCGGUUUCAGAGGGUAGAUUUCUCAGCGUUGCUUUUUCCCCAG
Long non-coding RNA from Equus asinus (donkey), 2968 nucleotides. The record is from Ensembl. Lineage: Eukaryota; Metazoa; Chordata; Mammalia; Perissodactyla; Equidae.